RNAcentral lists this RNase P RNA (364 nucleotides) under Enterobacteriaceae endosymbiont of Macroplea mutica. Its description in RNAcentral is "RNase P RNA component class A". It matches the Rfam family "Bacterial RNase P class A". From Rfam's summary of the family: Ribonuclease P (RNase P) is a ubiquitous endoribonuclease, found in archaea, bacteria and eukarya as well as chloroplasts and mitochondria. Its best characterised activity is the generation of mature 5'-ends of tRNAs by cleaving the 5'-leader elements of precursor-tRNAs. The record is from RNAcentral. Lineage: Bacteria; Pseudomonadati; Pseudomonadota; Gammaproteobacteria; Enterobacterales; Enterobacteriaceae.
UGAGUUAAUUCAAACAGUCGCUUUUAUUUUCAAUAAAAGAGGAAAGUCCGGACUCCAAAGGGUAAUGGUACCAGAUAACUUCUGGGAAGUGUAAACUUACGAAUAGUGCAACAGAAAAUAUACCGCCAUAAUAAUAUGUAGUGGUUAUAAUAAUUAUGGUAAGGGUGAAAAGGCAUGGUAAGAGCAUACCGAUAUAUUAGUAAUAAUAUAUGUCUGUGCAAACUCUACCAGGAGCAAGGCUAAAUAAAGAUUUGUAUUGACCCGUACAAAAAAUCUGGGUAAGCUGCAAGAAAUAGUAAGUAAUUAUUAUUCUAGAUAAAUGACUGUUAGAAAACAGAAUCCGGCUUAUGAAUUAACUUAUAAA